RNAcentral lists this ribosomal RNA (403 nucleotides) under uncultured bacterium. RNAcentral describes it as "bacterial SSU rRNA". It matches the Rfam family "Bacterial small subunit ribosomal RNA", at positions 11 to 434 of the family's 1533-position model. The record is from RNAcentral.
GUUUGAUCAUGGCUCAGAUUGAGCGCUGGCGGUAUGCUUAACACAUGCAAGUCGAACGGGGGUAGCAAUACCUUAGUGGCGGACGGGUGAGUAAUACAUAGGAACUGCCUUGUAGUGGGGGACAACUUGGGGAAACUCAAGCUAAUACCGCAUACGAGCUACGGGUGAAAGGGGGCUUCGGCUCUCGCUAUAAGAUGAGCCUAUGUCUGAUUAGCUAGUUGUGAGGUAAAGGCCUACCAAGGCGACGAUCAGUAGCUGGUCUGAGAGGACGACCAGGCCACACUGGGACUGAGACACGGCCCAGACUCCUACGGGAGGCAGCAGUGGGAAUAUUGGACAAUGGGCGAAAGCCUGAUCCAGCAAUACCGCGUGUGUGACGAAGGCCUGCGGGUUGUAAAGCACU